This is a long non-coding RNA of Pleuronectes platessa (European plaice), 2238 nucleotides long. RefSeq lists it as uncharacterized. The transcript is spliced from 2 exons. The record is from RefSeq and is a predicted model, not a curated record. Lineage: Eukaryota; Metazoa; Chordata; Actinopteri; Pleuronectiformes; Pleuronectidae.
AGGAGGAUCCUGUGAUGCAGACGCACAGUCACAAUUUCAUGAUGACCAGGCUGAGCCACAGAAAAAGACAAAUUAAGGUUAAAAUCAUUCUUACUAGGAAAUAAAAUAUAAAAUCUGAUAUUUCUGAUUGAGAAUAUCAAUCGUCAGUCAGCUACACGCCCCCCCACAUACACACGUCACAUUUUGACCAAUGAGGAUGUGAUAGAAAUUUAAAAUCCUCAUCUUCACGUUUCUUAAUUAUAGUUAAAGCAGAAACAACUACAGGGAGGUUUCACGUUCAGUUUAAUUUUGGGGAUGGAUAGUUUUUGCAGUGGAGAGAGAAACUUGAAAUGGGAAAUAGACAGGUUCUAUCCACUUCAGUCCACAUGGAGGUGCCCUUGAGCAAGGCACGGACUUCACCUCACAGCUGCCACAGCAGAGGAUUUAGGGUUUAAUUCAAAAAGAUUUAAAAACACAUAUAAACUAAAACACACCAGGUUGAUCCAACGAUCCAAUCAGGGUCCAGGCCUAGGAGUUUUAUAUUCUAAAUAUUGUGAUUGUGAUUUUGAAGUAGUUGCAUGAUUCUAAAAAAUAAAUAAUUAUCAGAUUAAAUCAUAUAUUUAAAUUAUACAUUGCAUUAGGGCUGUAUCUGAUACUUCCUGUCCUGUCUAACAACUGUAAUUUCAAAGAGGUCAAUGCUGCGUGUUUUUAGAUUGCAAAUAUCGUGAUAUCCGUUCAUUAAUAUCAAGAAUAUCAAGUUUACUCCAUUUUCUACUUUGUGCUCUGACAGAAACUGAAAUUGAUCUCUUAGAGAAAAAUCCUGUUUUAAAUAAAGAUAAAUCUUUACUGUCCCAGCCCAGAUCCACAUCUUUAAAGUUUGACUAAGAUGCAGGUUUUGCUCUGAAGCUUCAGAAGUUUCCUUCAAAGUUACAUCAUUUUUCAGCCUUUUAAUAAAAUCCUUGAAUUGGAUUUCAACUGGAAGAUACAGUGAAGCACGGACAGGUACUAAAAACACAGUGACUCUGGAAGAAACCAGUUGAUUCAGUCUAAUUGCUGAAACAUCAACACUGGUUGAUAGACAUGGACCAACAGCUCCCUCUAGUUUGGCUUCUCCAGGCCUCCACAGUUUCUAUUGUAAUAAUCUUUGUGAACUCACUCAUGAUACUUCCAAGGGUCAUAAGAGAAUCUUUAAUACAUAAAAUAACACAAACUCAUCCUGUACAUCAGUGUGUGAGUGUAUUUCAGGAGCCGAGCACUGUCGGAGCUUUUCAAAGAGGAGCAGCAUCAGUCUCUGAGAAUGUGACCCAGCCGGUUUGUUGUCUUCCUGUGGACGAGUGGAAGAUGAAACCGGAAGUUACCUGAGUUCAGUAUCUGGAGGUUCUCUUGGAGUCGGGACAGGCUUAGACGGAGGCUUUGAUCCGGUUCAUCAGAUCAGAGACGACACAAGAGGAGUCGAGAGCAGCUGAGCUCAUCUGUGACCGACCGUGGGAAGAGAUAAGGUCAGCUGACGAUGGGUGGCUCCUCCUCCAAAACAACCUUUGUCUGGAAAAAGAAGAAGAAAUCACCUCUGGAAAAAGCCUGGAAGGACCUGAAGGGGGCGCUGCCCGACAAGAAGCGCAAGAAGAAGAGUUCUCGGUCCCUGGACAAGCUGAACUUGGAUAACCUGAGGAAGGGGAAGUCUUCCCAGAGGAGAUUCUCACUGCCAACAGACAAGAAAGAGCCGAAGCAAAGGUUUUCUCUGGGUAACCUGAGGAAGACGCCGAUGAAGGAGGAGAAGGAGAGGAGCGCAGGAGGGCUGGGGAAAGUAGGAGAGCAGAUAAAAAGGGCAUUUUCUCAGGAACAAAAGAAAGAGCUCAGGACUCAAGAUGUCUCUCCCUCUGUGAAGUUAAAGACAAAGGAGACAAAAGAGGAAAACGUUCAGAAAAGUGUCUCGAAAGCGACUAAGAUAAACUUCAAGUUCCCACGAGAUCUGUUCAUUUGACAGGAAUCAGAGCAAAAGGACAAUUUAGACGAAGAGACUUUUGUUUUGGAGAUGAAACAAAAGACGACAGGAGAGUCAGAGACAUUCAAGGUUUUUUAAUGACGUCUCGGUGGAGCUUGAGACCACAGACUGAAAACAAAGACGGACGACAUGAUGGAUCCUCAAAAGGGAAUCUUGAUCGCCCCCUUGUGGCCGGUUGCAGUAUUCGUCACAAACCCUUUCUCCUCCAUGUUAGUUGACCAUUUUAUAAUAAACAGGAUUAAACAUUGUGAUUAACA